GACAGAGGUCCCGAGCGUUAGGCGGAAUCACUGGGCUUAAAGCGUGUGUAGGCGGCUUGGUAAGUACCUUGUGAAAUCCCACGGCUCAACCGUGGAACUGCUUGGUAUACUGCUUAUCUUGGGCCACUUAGGGGUUACCGGAACAAACGGUGGAGCGGUGAAAUGCGUAGAUAUCGUUUGGAACGCCAAUGGUGAAAACAGGUAACUGGGAGUGUGCCGACGCUGAGACACGAAAGCCAGGGGAGCGAACGGG
Molecule: ribosomal RNA, 253 nt
Filed under: uncultured bacterium
Lineage: Bacteria
Description: partial 16S ribosomal RNA
Rfam family: Bacterial small subunit ribosomal RNA
Source: RNAcentral